RNAcentral lists this ribosomal RNA (116 nucleotides) under Pteropus alecto (black flying fox). Lineage: Eukaryota; Metazoa; Chordata; Mammalia; Chiroptera; Pteropodidae. The record is from RNAcentral.
GUCUACGGCCAUGCCAUCCUUAACAAGCUCAAUGUCUGAUCUUGGAAGCUAAGCAGGAUCCGGCCUGGUUAGUACUUGGAUGGGAGACCACCUAGGAAGACCAGGUGCUGUAAGUA